Molecule: long non-coding RNA, 1410 nt
Organism: Raphanus sativus (radish)
Lineage: Eukaryota; Viridiplantae; Streptophyta; Magnoliopsida; Brassicales; Brassicaceae
Exons: 2
Source: RefSeq, a predicted model, not a curated record
UCUUCGUUUUUCAAUCUCAAGUUCCAGUUUAGAGAACUCUAUCAAUGUCCAAAUAUUUUCCAUUCCCCGAUUCAUUCCUUCUUCAGUGUCAUUUUCCUUCUCCUUUCUGUUUUAGUAGAUCUAAUAAAUUUAUAGGGUUCUGGAUAAAAACUAAUAAUUAAUCUGAGAUGGCUAAUAUCAUGAAGCAAAUCUUAUCGAAACCGAUCUAACUGUCUGACCAGGUGGUGAAAGCGGCUAAAAUGAGGCUAGUUCGUUCAAGCAGGAGUGCACGGAACUCAAGGCGAAGACUGAGAAGCUUGUUCGUCUACUGGACAAGGCUUUCUCCCUCGUCCUCAAGUGUCGAGCCAACAGCAUCAUGAAGCGCGUCUUCACCAUCAUCCCCGCCGCCGCCUUCCACAAGAUGUCUGCUCAGUUGGAGAACUCUAUCAGUGACGUUUCUUGGCUCCUUCGUGUAUCUGCUCCCGCUGAGGAUCGCGGUGACGCUGGUUACCUUGGUCUUCCUCCUAUUGCCGCCACGAGCCCAUCCUCUGCCUCAUCUGGGAGCAUAUUUCUCUUCUCCACACCGGACCCCUUGAAGACCGCUUCGGUGCUGCCGCUUCCCUCGUUUCUCUUGCAUAACGAUUGCUACACUAAGAUUAUCAUUGAGGAAGGAGGCGUACGGCUCACUUCACUUGUUACGGCAAUUCGACGAGAGAAACGAUGGAUGUUCGGAACUAGAAGCUCAUCUGAGUUUUAGCUCAUUUAUCCGUUCCAAUCCGCAUCUAAGAGGUUUCUAUUAAGUCGAGGGCUUGGCGUGAGAUGUUCUGUUUUGCUCGAUGGAGAUACUUCCAUUACUGAUUCGUUCUCUUCUCACUGGAAUUUCUUCACUCCAACUAAACAAGUGAAGAGAAUUGAGAUCAGUGAUCGACAUAGGUAAUGCUUGUUGCUGUUUUUAUUGUAAUGUGACUUAAGUAAGUGUGUGGCGGUCAUUUUUGGUUUAAUUUCAAAGCUUUUGUUGUGGGUUUUUCAGUGAUGUUUAGUGACAUAUCGUGAGAAGAGACAUUCUUAUAUGUACUUGGCGUACUUCCUGAGUUAUGCUCCUUAGUUAUAUUAGUGGAAUGAACAGAAGAGCUUUCUUUUGUUUGUAAAUUCUUAAACCAACUUUUUUUUUGUUUUUUGCUAAGCUUGGCUACUCAAAAGAAAGAUUUGUAUGGUCUUUGAUCCAUCACAGUGGUUGCAAAUUCCUUUCAGGGAAGACCGAUGAGAUCGAAGAGGCAAAGAAGAAACAUAAAACAAAGGCCAAGGCUUAGAAGACUUGUGGGUUAACAUUUUUUGUAUGUUUAUUAUGUGUCUCGGUUUUUCUUUUGAACUGAUGUAGGAUGAUAUGUAAGUCUUGAUUGUGUUGAAUCCUAAGAAAGAAAAUUUGUACUA